RNAcentral lists this ribosomal RNA (707 nucleotides) under uncultured bacterium. Its description in RNAcentral is "bacterial SSU rRNA". It matches the Rfam family "Bacterial small subunit ribosomal RNA", at positions 20 to 707 of the family's 1533-position model. The record is from RNAcentral.
UGGCUCAGAACGAACGCUGGCGGCGUGGAUAAGACAUGCAAGUCGAACGGGAUAUUAUUUGUAGCAAUACAAAUGAUGUCUAGUGGCGUAAGGGUGCGUAACACGUGGGCAAUCUGCCGAGAAGUGGGGGAUAGCUCGCCGAAAGGCGAAUUAAUACCGCAUGUGGUUAGUGAGGACAUCCUCACGACACCAAAGCCGGGGCAACCUGGCGCUUCUUGAUGAGCCCGCGGCCUAUCAGCUAGUCGGUGAGGUAACGGCUCACCAAGGCUAUGACGGGUAGCUGGUCUGAGAGGACGACCAGCCACACUGGAACUGAGACACGGUCCAGACACCUACGGGUGGCAGCAGUCGAGAAUUUUUCUCAAUGGGGGAAACCCUGAAGGAGCGACGCCGCGUGGAGGAUGAAGGUCUUCGGAUUGUAAACUCCUGUCAUUUGGGAACAAGUUGCAUCGAUUAACUGUCGAUGCAUUGAUAGUACCAGAAGAGGAAGAGACGGCUAACUCUGUGCCAGCAGCCGCGGUAAUACAGAGGUCUCAAGCGUUGUUCGGAUUCAUUGGGCGUAAAGGGUGCGUAGGUGGCGGGGUUAGUCAGGUGUGAAAUCUCGGAGCUCAACUCCGAAACUGCACUUGAUACUGCCUUGCUAGAGUACUGGAGAGGAGAUUGGAAUUUACGGUGUAGCAGUGAAAUGCGUAGAUAUCGUAAGGAAG